CCUGCGGCGGCCUAUACAUGCAAGUCGAACGGUAACAGGCCCGGCAACGGGUGCUGACGAGUGGCGCACGGGUGCGUAACACGUAUGCAACCUACCCUUUACUGCGGGAUAACCCUGAGAAAUCGGGGCUAAUAUCGCAUGUGAAUAUAAAGAGGCAUCUUUUUAUAAUUAAAGAUUUAUUGGUAAAGGAUGGGCAUGCGCCCCAUUAGUUAGUUGGUAAGGUAACGGCUUACCAAGACAGUGAUGGGUAGGGGCUCUGAGAGGAUUGUCCCCCACACUGGUACUGAGACACGGACCAGACUCCUACGGGAGGCAGCAGUAAGGAAUAUUGGUCAAUGGGCGAGAGCCUGAACCAGCCAUGCCGCGUGCAGGAAGACGGCCCUAUGGGUUGUAAACUGCUUUUAUAUGGGACUAACCACGCCUACGUGUAGGCGUCUGCAUGUACCAUACGAAUAAGCAUCGGCUAACUCCGUGCCAGCAGCCGCGGUAAUACGGAGGAUGCGAGCGUUAUCCGGAUUUAUUGGGUUUAAAGGGUGCGUAGGCUGACAAGUAAGUCAGUGGUGAAAUUCCCCGGCUCAACCGGGGGUGUGCCAUUGAUACUGUUUGUCUGGGAGUGUAAUCGAAGUGGGCGGAAUGAGGAGUGUAGCGGUGAAAUGCAUAGAUAUUCCUCAAAACACCGAUAGCGAAAGGCAGCUCACUAGAAUACAACUGACGCCGAGGCACGAAAGCGUGGGUAGCAAACAGGAUUAGAUACCCUUGGGUAGUCCCGCCGUAA
RNAcentral lists this ribosomal RNA (775 nucleotides) under uncultured bacterium. RNAcentral's name for it is "bacterial SSU rRNA". It matches the Rfam family "Bacterial small subunit ribosomal RNA", at positions 36 to 805 of the family's 1533-position model. The record is from RNAcentral.